This 474-nucleotide ribosomal RNA is filed under the name uncultured organism. RNAcentral describes it as "partial 16S ribosomal RNA". It matches the Rfam family "Bacterial small subunit ribosomal RNA", at positions 332 to 797 of the family's 1533-position model. The record is from RNAcentral.
UACACUCCUGCGGGAGGCAGCAGUGGGGAAUUUUGGACAAUGGGCGAAAGCCUGAUCCAGCCAUGCCGCGUGCAGGAUGAAGGCCUUCGGGUUGUAAACUGCUUUUGUACGGAACGAAACGGCCUUUUCUAAUAAAGAGGGCUAAUGACGGUACCGUAAGAAUAAGCACCGGCUAACUACGUGCCAGCAGCCGCGGUAAUACGUAGGGUGCAAGCGUUAAUCGGAAUUACUGGGCGUAAAGCGUGCGCAGGCGGUUAUGUAAGACAGUUGUGAAAUCCCCGGGCUCAACCUGGGAACUGCAUCUGUGACUGCAUAGCUAGAGUACGGUAGAGGGGGAUGGAAUUCCGCGUGUAGCAGUGAAAUGCGUAGAUAUGCGGAGGAACACCGAUGGCGAAGGCAAUCCCCUGGACCUGUACUGACGCUCAUGCACGAAAGCGUGGGGAGCAAACAGGAUUAGAAACCCUUGUAGUCCCA